This 253-nucleotide ribosomal RNA is filed under the name uncultured bacterium. RNAcentral describes it as "partial 16S ribosomal RNA". It matches the Rfam family "Bacterial small subunit ribosomal RNA", at positions 524 to 776 of the family's 1533-position model. The record is from RNAcentral.
UACGUAGGGUGCAAGCGUUGUCCGGAAUUAUUGGGCGUAAAGAGCUCGUAGGCGGUUUGUCGCGUCUGCUGUGAAAACGCGAGGCUCAACCUCGCGCCUGCAGUGGGUACGGGCAGACUAGAGUGCGGUAGGGGAGAUUGGAAUUCCUGGUGUAGCGGUGAAAUGCGCAGAUAUCAGGAGGAACACCGAUGGCGAAGGCAGGUCUCUGGGCCACUACUGACGCUGAGAAGCGAAAGCGUGGGGAGCAAACAGG